This 256-nucleotide long non-coding RNA is filed under the name Hordeum vulgare. RNAcentral's name for it is "long non-coding RNA (HVUL_LNC013450)". The record is from RNAcentral. Lineage: Eukaryota; Viridiplantae; Streptophyta; Magnoliopsida; Poales; Poaceae.
AACAGUAUGAGGGCAUCACACAUUUUUCCAUACAUAAUACAUUUCACGUUUCAUGUGAUUUUUCUACUUAAUUAUGGUUACUAGUUUGCAUGAUCGAAUAAACCAUAGAAUGAUAUUAAGGUUGCUAGAACUUGUGUUUAUCUUUUUGCAUAUUAUACAAUCCAAAUCAGUGCUCUCAAGUCGUUCCACUUAUACUGACAAGUGCAUGAAUUUUGGUUUUUCGGUUAACCGAACAAACCGAACCGAUAUAUUAUGG